Molecule: ribosomal RNA, 429 nt
Filed under: Longitarsus sencieri
Lineage: Eukaryota; Metazoa; Arthropoda; Insecta; Coleoptera; Chrysomelidae
Description: partial 16S large subunit ribosomal RNA
Source: RNAcentral
GUUCUUUUGUUUAUAAUUUAAGGUCUAGUCUGCCCAAUGAAAAUUUAAAUGGCCGCGGUAUUUUGACUGUGCUAAGGUAGCAUAAUCAUUAGUUUUUUAAUUAAAAGCUGGAAUGAAGGGUUGGAUGAAAAAUUGACUGUCUCUAAUUAAUUUAAUUAGAAUUUUAUUUUUAAGUUAAAAAGCUUAAAUAAUUUUAAAAGACGAGAAGACCCUUUAGAGUUUAAAUAUUUAAUUUAUAAAUAUUUAGUAUUAAUUUUUUAUAAUUAUUAUGUAUUUAAUUGGGGUGAUUAAAAAAUUUAAUAAACUUUUUUUAUAUAUUUAUAUUGAUUAAUAAAUUAAUGAUCCAAAAAUUUUGAUUAUAAAAUAAAUUACCUUAGGGAUAACAGCGUAAUUUUAUUAGAGAGUUCUAAUCGAAAAUAAAGUUUGCGA